AUAUUUAUAAGCCUGUAUAGGCAUGCAUACAUAUCCUUUUGUUUUAUGUAAUUUAUGUUAUUAUAAAUUAAUUUUUUUUUUAUUUUUUUUUUAUUUAUUUAUUUAUUUAUUUAUUUUAUUUUUUUUAUUAGGAACAAGAAAUAAACCCCUUUGGUCAAGAACAAUCAGAAUUGCUAGAAAAUCCGUUCAAUUCUGAAAAUAUGGAACAAGCUGAAAAUCCGUUNNNNNNNNNNGCUGAAAAUCCGUUCAAUUCUGAAAAUAUGGAACAAGCUGAAAAUCCCUUUGAUGAAAAACCAUCAAAAUUGAUAGGAGUUAUAUCAAGUUCUGAAAAUAACAAAGAAGUUGAACAUACUGUUCUAGAAGUAAUACCGGAAGUAAGUUCGAGCAUUGAAGAAAUAAAUAAAUCAAAUGAAACUAUAGCAGAACCAGUAGUUGAAGAACCAGAAGAUGAAAAACAAGAAGAUAAAGAACCGAAAUAUUUUCGACUAGCGACAACUAAUAAACUAGAUUAUUCUCCAUCUACGGUAAUAAAUGAAGCGCCAAGUGAUGGAUCAUCAAUGGAAGUUGUGACAGUUGAAAAAGAAGAUAAUGCAAAAGUUGAGCCAAAUGAAAAAGCUCCUUCUACUCUAUUCACUGAUAACGAUUUAGUGGUUGCAAUACCAAGUAAUAAACCAAAACCAACAGUUAAAAUAAAUAAAAUUUCUAAAUGGAUGGAAACUGAAGAAAAACUUUAUUUUAAUAAAAUAAAAAAUAUGGAAUUAAAAUGGAAAACAGAAAAAAUUGAGGAAAUUAAAUACUUUUUACUUUAUUUAGAAAAACGUUGGUUAAGUUAUAAAGGAAAUGUUGAUACAAAAGUAUCAAAAGAUUUUGAAAAAAAGUCCCUUUCAUGGCAAGACGACCAAUGGAAAAAUUGGAUAUACUCAGAAGGUACUGAUUUACUUAUAAACCAAUUUAACAUGUGGCUUAAAUUUGGCGAGCUAGAGUUGAAAUAUGACGCAAUAGAAAAUUUUAAAGAUUGGGUACUAGAAAAAGAAUAUACUAUUGAUGCACAAUCAUGGUCAAAUGAUAAAAAAGUUAAAAAAUUAAAUAAAUUUUUGAAAAAUGCACAAACAAUGCAAAAUGAAGUACAUAAACAUGUAGAUAAUUUUCAUAAACCCGUAAACAAAAAAUUAUUUAAUACAUUUGUUAUAUGGAAAAACGAUUUUAUUAAGAGAUGGUUAAAAGAAAAAAUAUAUAACAGUUGGUUAAAUGAAAUACAUAAUUAAAAAAAAAAAAAAAAAAAUAGUAAAAAAAUAUAUAUAUAUGUAUAAAAUUUUAAAUGCGUGCAUGUUAUAUAACAUUAUAUUUUAUUAUAUUGCAUCAUUGUGUUUUACUUAAUUUUU
RNAcentral lists this long non-coding RNA (1382 nucleotides) under Piliocolobus tephrosceles (Ugandan red Colobus). Its description in RNAcentral is "lncRNA (ENSPTEG00000001005.1)". The record is from RNAcentral. Lineage: Eukaryota; Metazoa; Chordata; Mammalia; Primates; Cercopithecidae.